RNAcentral lists this long non-coding RNA (451 nucleotides) under Homo sapiens (human). Its description in RNAcentral is "HSALNT0245660". Lineage: Eukaryota; Metazoa; Chordata; Mammalia; Primates; Hominidae. The record is from RNAcentral.
GGUUCACAGGGAAAGGCUAGUUCUCUUUUCUUGGGUGUGCAGGGUCAGAAGGAUGGAAGGCUGGAGUUGCUGUUUCUGCUGCUACUUGGGUAGAAUCUGCCGGGAAAUGAAGCCAGCACAGCGGAGUUGAGAGAUGGUGAGAGGUUCUUGGAGACGUUGUCUGCUCAUUUGAGUCCAGCCAUGUGGAACAUUCUGGACUUUUUAGUUAUAUGAACCACAACUUGCUCCCACCACCUUUUAAAAAACUUCAGCCAAUUAAGCUGAUCUCUGGCUCUUUGUCCUCUAGUGCCCCCUCCGUUAUCUGUGUGCGUGACUGUCAACUUCGCCUAAAACCUGGGGGGUUAGAUGGCAUCCCAUGGAGGCCCAGCCCAUCAUCGGCUCCUCUGUCUGGUGACAAGGACGCUCUCCCCAGUGGCCUCACCCAAUGUCCUAAUUCUCUUUAGGGAACAGC